RNAcentral lists this long non-coding RNA (331 nucleotides) under Mytilus galloprovincialis (Mediterranean mussel). Lineage: Eukaryota; Metazoa; Mollusca; Bivalvia; Mytilida; Mytilidae. The record is from RNAcentral.
CCCGUGCUUGCAUUUCCUAUCAUGAUUUUCUUGAUAGAGGUUUGCUGCUCACAAGGAAGCUAUUAAACCAAGAGUUCCAAAUGGUGAAGUUGAAAUCAUCCCUUCGUAAAUUUUACGGACGCCAUCACGAGUUGGUUGACCGUUAUGGAAUAACCGUUUCACAAAUGAUAUCGGAUAUGCUCCUUACGUCGUAACUACAAUCCCCUUCCCUUUCAUGAAUAUGACCUACCGAAUUAGACUAUUUACCGGAUUUGUAAUCACUUAAGCAACACGACGGGUGCCACAUGUGGAGCAGGAUAUGCUUACCCUUCCGGAGCACCUGAGAUCACCC